AGGUGUGGAUGGGGCGAAGGUGCGGGAACGUCCACUCCCGCGCGCCCCUCUCGGGGACCAGGGCGGCCUCCCAGGAGGAGCUUGGUGAGCAGCUGCGACCUGUGCAUAACUUGGGGCGCCGCCAGGGGCUCGCAGGUUCCACGUCCGGCGCCUGGAGAAGGAAGACGCGCGUCCCCGGCCGCGGCGCCGAAGCCGGCUGGGGGACCGCCUGGUCCCGGGCCAGAGCUGGGAGGCGGUGUUCCGUGAGCCGCCUGGUCUGGGGUGCGGGGGGCGGGAAGCGGCCCCUUCGUGUGCGCUUGGGCGAGGCCGGGCGGCGCUUCUGUCCUCCUACUCGGACCCGCAGGUUUCUGGUCCUCAUACCGUGUGGUUGAGUGAAAUCAAAACUUCCACGAUAGCAAUGCUGAUUGGACAAAGAAUGUGUUGUGGACACAAAACCAAACUCUGGAGGACAGAGGAUUCAUUCCAAGGGUCUGCUUGUAUUCAAUGACUGGUCUACGUGGGGGUGUGAAGUCCCCUUACUCCACCUGUGAAGAGUCUUCCCAGUUUCAGACCACCCUCCCAGCCUCCUGUUAUUGGCUAAGGCCAUUUUGUGACUACACUGCAGGUAGAGAUGGAUUCCUGGAAAUACCUCCUCAAGGCCAGUGUAGAGCCCUCAAUCACCCACUGCCCCCAGCUUCUCCUUCUCCCAUCUCCUGCACCAAGCAGGUCUCCAGGUGUUCCAGCUGCUGAUGACGUAAAGUGUGGAGUUGGUCCAGGAAGGUCAUGUUCCAUGCAGCAGAGGAGCGCUUUGUGUGAGAAGUUGAAGACCUGCUGUAACACAUCAUAGAGGAAAGACAUAGCCUGGGCCUUCUGCAACUGGCUGACUUCCACCUUCUCCUGGGGGAAUCUGAAGUCACUUCUGUCCUUUAGACACAAGAAGGGAGAGAUUCUCCUCAUUUGGCCCAAAAGCACCAAGGUGUUCCUGCCUAGCAGGCCAUGGUUCUGAGGUAGAGACAGAUUCUCUGGAAGUACCUUCUCAAGGCCAGUGUAGAGCUCCCAAUCACCCAGCAGAUUCUCCCUCUCCCACUGCCCGCACCAAGCAGGUCUCCAGGUGUUCCAGCUGCUGAUGAAGUCCAGUGUGGAGUUGGUCCAGGAGGGUCGUGUUCCAGGCAGCAGAGGAGCGCUCUGUGUGGAAGAGGCUGAAGAUCUGCUGCAGCAUCUCAUGGAGGACAGACAGGGCCUGGGCCUGCUGCAACUGGCUGUCAUACACAUCUCCAGGGGAAACCUGAAGUCUCUUCUGUCCUUGAGACACAAGAAAGGGGAGAUCCAUUUCAUUUGGCCCAGAAGCACCAACGUCUUCCUUCCUGUCAGACCAUGGUUCUGAGUCAGGUCACAUCCCAGAGAUCAAAAAGAGCCACAGCUGCACACAACUAGGACCACCACUAGAGAGUGAAGAUGGAGUCUCAGUCACCAGGCUGGAGUGCAGUGGCACAAUCUCAGCUCACUGCAACCUUCACCUCCUGGGUUCAAGCAAUUCCCCUGCCUCAGCCUCUCGAGUAGCUGGGACUACAGGUGCUCACCACCAUGCCUGGCUAAUUUUUUUUAUUUUAGUAGAGUCGGGGUUUCACCAUGUUGGCCAGGCUGGUCUCGAUCUCCUGAUCUCAUGAUCCACCUGCCUCGGCCUCCCAAAGUGCUGAGAUUAUAGGUUUGAGCCACCAUGACUGGCCGAAUUUUUGUAACUUCUUUUCACAUAGUGGUUUACUGGGUAAGGUGUAUCUUGCUUCUCCUACAUGAUAUUCUUAUUUAUGAUGAAUUAAAACAAAUAAAGAAAAGUAAAAGAAAGGCAAAGGAACCAUAUUGUUCUUCUCCAUAAUUUUCAAGAUUUCAGAUUUUUUGUCUCUCAUUUCAACUUUCCUAGAAAGCAAACCUCAACAAUUGCUUAUAUAUUAAAAACAAAACAAAUAUAAGCCUGAAUAUCAGGAAGUAAGAGAAGUGACUUUCUGCUGACAAAAUAGCAAAACAUAUGUUAGCAAAAUUCAGUGCAGCAAAAUUAGAGACUAGGGACUCUGUCCCAGGGGAAGGAUGAAUGUCAUUGUUGAGGUACACAAAAGCAAGGGAAACGGCUGCUUCUGCCAGAGCCUCACAGAAGAGCAACUCCUGGGUCAAUGGAUUGUCCUCAGCUUUGCAAGACCAGCCACCUGCUCUUCUUUCAUUGAAUGCAGAUGUUAUCACCUCUGAGGUAAGAAAGGAGGAGUCACACCAACCAACUCACAGUAGACUGGCAACAAGACCCCAGUUGCUAGAACACUAGUCCUCUCUGGCAUGAUAAUGAAUAUUAGCCUUGCCUUAGCACCGUACCUAGUUAAAAAAUCCACCCAGGAAAUGAAAAGAUGGCAUUUAGAAACCUGCAAAGAAACAGAAUUUGAUUUCCCAAAAGAUUCUGCUCCUAGUUGUGUUAUAACAAUGGUGAUUUUUUUAAAAGAUAACACCAAAAUUAUUGCAUUAUAACUAUAGGCCUGUGAC
Long non-coding RNA from Homo sapiens (human), 2502 nucleotides. Ensembl annotates it as MIR31 host gene. Its record names the gene MIR31HG. The record is from Ensembl. Lineage: Eukaryota; Metazoa; Chordata; Mammalia; Primates; Hominidae.